GGGGCUGACUGGAUUUGACAGCGGGAUGAAAUGGUAUGUAAGCACGCGGAGCGUAGGUGGCUGGCUCCAUAAUCCCAGUGAUCAACAAUUUAAUUGGCGAAAACAAUUACGCUCUCGCUGCCUAACUGAAGCACAGUAGGUUUUGGGCUUUAUUCCGUCACCAGGUGAUGGAACGAGACAUCGCUCAGAGGCUGUUGUUCCGAAGCCAGCUGAUAUAGCGGUGCAGAGAAAUCGGAAAUAGUUUGCCGUUGCCUCGCACGGUGAGCGAAAUUUUAGAGGAUAAGGCAUGGGUUGGUGGUUCGGGUCUUGCCCAUGCACGAAAAUGAAGUCCGAAAUAAGCGUGUAGAAAGCGUAUGGUUUCCCUGUUUGGACGUGGGUUCGACUCCCACCAGCUCCACAA
Molecule: transfer-messenger RNA, 400 nt
Filed under: Bacteroidaceae
Lineage: Bacteria; Pseudomonadati; Bacteroidota; Bacteroidia; Bacteroidales
Also listed under: 1 other name
Description: Prevotella sp018127805 Standard tmRNA
Rfam family: transfer-messenger RNA
About the family: Bacterial tmRNA, also known as 10Sa RNA or SsrA, is named for its dual tRNA and mRNA-like properties. Its role is to liberate the mRNA from a stalled ribosome. To accomplish this part of the tmRNA is used as a reading frame that ends in a translation stop signal.
Source: RNAcentral